AGUGAACGCUGGCGGUAGGCCUAACACAUGCAAGUCGAACGGCAGCACAGUAAGAGCUUGCUCUUGAGGGUGGCGAGUGGCGGACGGGUGAGGAAUACAUCGGAAUCUACUUUUUCGUGGGGGAUAACGUAGGGAAACUUACGCUAAUACCGCAUACGACCUACGGGAGAAAGCAGGGGAUCUUCGGACCUUGCGCGACUGAAUGAGCCGAUGCCGGAUUAGCUAGUUGGCGGGGUAAAGGCCCACCAAGGCGACGAUCCGUAGCUGGUCUGAGAGGGUGAUCGGCCACACUGGAACUGAGACACGGUCCAGACUCCUACGGGAGGCAGCAGUAGGGAAUCUUGGGCAAUGGGCGCAAGCCUGAUGCAGCCACGCCGCGUGAGUGAUGAAGGUCUUCGGGUCGUAAAACCCUGUUGUUAGGGAAGAACAGAAGCGGAAUUAUACGCCGCUAUUCUGACGGUACCCAAAGAGUAAGCACCGGCUAACUACGUG
This 492-nucleotide ribosomal RNA is filed under the name uncultured bacterium. RNAcentral's name for it is "partial 16S ribosomal RNA". It matches the Rfam family "Bacterial small subunit ribosomal RNA", at positions 29 to 507 of the family's 1533-position model. The record is from RNAcentral.